AGGAUGAAUGAAACACAUUUGUCAAAGUUGAAUUGUUGGCCAAAGGUAAUAGAUAUAAAUCUCAACACUGCUUGACCAUACAUAACAUUAGUGUAUAGCUAUUCUAUAUAGAUACUAUUUAUUGAAAGUACGAAAUGUACAAAGUCGUUUUUGUUGUUGUAUUUUUGAGUACAUGUCUUGCCAUGCCUCGAUUUAGAAGGAAUACAUGGAGAACGUCGUCACAAAUAAAGAGAGCACCGACCGAGUCUUCAGAUACCAACAUAAUGUAUACCCUAUUAAUGAACGAGAUGUACAUGUAUUUAAACGCCGAUCCGGCCACUGGAAUUACUGCAAGUGAUGUAACUCGUUUCUUUGAAGAAGUUAUUGGAAAGGAUACCAGAAUGGCUGAAAAUUUUGGAGUAGAUUACAUUUUCUGGGGAGACCAAAAUGGUGAUCAUCGACUUAAUCGAACUGAACUUCUAAGAGCAAUGAAAAUUCACAAAGUUUUUGAAUACAUAUGAACGUCAGCAACCACGUGACGUAUUGCCUUCCUUUUGUUGGCAAUGAAUUGUUCUCAGAAACUGUUGACAUGGAACCAUUUUAUGAUCGGCAUCUUAGCUUUUCCUGCCUUCAGCUUUCCUUCUUUGUUGUUGUUGGCUGUAGACCGAGCUAUUCCAAAGAUUGGUCAUGACAGAUUUCCAGUGUUGAAAGUGUGUUUCUGUUGGCUUGUAAAAUCGUCUAUGUUUUUUUCGUUGAUUUUACAUUUGCAUUCGACAAUCACGCUGUGUGAGUUUAGUUUUGGUUUUAAACUUGUUUAGAUCGUUUGUUUUAGGUUGUUUUGUGAUUGUGUAUUUUACACACGUACUGUGUGUGCUUUUGAACUGAAAUCCAUGCGCUAGAAUGUGAUUAAGAAUCAACAAGAUUCAGAAAAGAUGAGAAUACGAAGUUUUUUAAGCAUGGGAUUUGUGUUUACAUUGCUUUUAAGCUGUAUUUAUUUGGUGCAUUACAUGCAAAUAUUAUUUAUUAUUUAUUUAUUUAAAGUUGUUAUUAUACGUGUGAACAAAAUGUAUGUGUUAAUACAAAUGAUACGACUGUGAUAUACUUUGGUAAUAUUUAUUUAAACUUACAUUUUCUGUCUUCAUCUUUAAAAGUCAUUGUUGUUUGUUAUUUCAUAGUUUCUUUUCUAACUUCAUAGUUUGUUUCCUUUUUUAGAUUUUUAUCCAUUUGUCAUUUACUUCCAUGUUACAUUAUUCCAUCUUUGGUCAACGGUUUAUCCUUUUUCUGCCAAAAAAGUUUCUAUUUGUUAGUAUAGAACUUAACAUCGUGUUUAUUGCAUGUAAAUGAACACCGUUAUUAUCAUUUUCCAAUUCUGAAUUAUUUCAUAUAUAUCCUUUUCUAAAUAUUUUAGUCUUGUAAUCCUUGUUACUAUUUUCAUAACAAAAAAAGUAAUAAAAUGUACUUUCAACAGUUAAGACAAUAAGAUUUCUUAAACAUUUUCUAUAUAAAGUGUGAUGCUUUUGGGGAGGGGGACUCAUACAAGGAAACGUAACGUUUAGGGUUUAUGAUCGGUAUCUUCAAUUCAAAAUUUAUUAAGAAAUGAAUGACAAUAAAUAGAAUUUAAAACUUUACCAUCCCCAAUCCCUCUCAAUUAGGAUUGUGUCAUCUUUCUAAUUUUUUUUUUUUUAAAUAUGGAAUCACUAGGCAAUUAAUUUUUAUUUUAAAGUAUUCAAUUAUAACGAUUAAAAAUCUGAUACAAUUUUUCUAUCUAAAAAUAAGGUAAAUAUCUAUGUUAAAAAUAUUAACGUCUUUAUAUGCAUACCGCAUUGUUUUUAUUAGUUUUUCUCAGAUUUCAUUGUUUUUGUAGAAGAAUGAAGAAGAAGAAUUAUGCUUAAGGUUUCCGCGUACAGUUUUUUUAAUAGGGGUCACACAACCAAUUCACUUCAUCGCAUUUAGAACAUAUGUAAAAGUAGCCCAACUCUAACAAAACAUACAGUGCCUUUUAAUGUUUUUUUUCUCUUUAACUGGCCAAUCAAUUUUCACGAAUGAAACUUUUCUGAAUGAAAAAUAUAUUUUGAUCAUUUUGAGUCCAAAUUUACUUAUGCAUUUACCUGGAUUAAAAUUUUAGGGUAGAUGUGCAAAUUAGAAUGCUGAUUCAAAUUAAAAAAAACAGUGUGCUAUUUUUAGCAGUUGGUGAGUUCGGGAAUGUAAGGUUUCACUAAAAGACUUCAAACAUGGGUUGAACAUUGGCAUGUAGAAAGUUGAUACAUGUAUUAUUCAGGAUAUACAUUGUUUUCAUGGAUUUAAACUUAAAGUAAAAUAUUUAAAAAGCUGUGAAAAUUGGAAAAAAAAUUGGUUGAAUAUAUAGGAUUUUUAAUUGAUGGUGUGGCACCAAUACUAACAUUCUGGGUUUUUAAGCCAUCACGUGGUUUACUAUGGUACGGAUCCAUAAAAUGAGAACCUCUUUAAUGGGAAUCAUAUUUAUUCCUUUAAUCUGGCAGCUGAAUUGUAAAUGUCACUUUUUAGAUUUUUUUUAAUAACAAACGAUCUGAAAGAUGUUUGAAUAAAAUGUAUAAACUUUUUGUACACACGAGGGCGGUACAAAAAUUUCGUUAAUCGAUUGUAUUUUAUGUUUGUAAAAACAGGUUUCUUCAUCGCGUGCUUGUUGGUUGCGAUUAACAGAAAUAAAUGAAAAGAAAUAUAUUUUAAACAUCCUCAUAUAGUAUCCACAACGCUGAUGGUAAUGUACAAUUAGAUUAAAUCAUUUGUUUUCUUUUGGGGAUAUUUUGUGUUGUUGCUUAACCUGUCAAUCAUUACUUUUAUUCAUAUUUUUGAAACCUGUGCCUCUUAUUUAGGGUCAUCCUUGUCAUCAUCCCUAAGUGCCCUUUGUUAGAUAGAAAAUCUUCAGUAGAACGGUUUUACCCGUUUCCAUAAUAUAGAGAACGAUGUUUGUAAAAAAUCAAAACAAAGUUUUGCAUGCCUACAAGACAAAUCAUCUUUCAAUGAUAUUCCAUAUUUUCGUCUGUUUGGUUGAUCGCAUGAAACCUCAAGAACAGGAGAUUAUAGUUGGGGAUUUGUUUAAUGAAUUAUUUUCUGGGAUCAAAUAAGCUAAUGAUUUGAAACUUUACGAAUGAGAUGGUGACCAGCAGAUCAUUUGUUAAGAUUUUCAUUCAGUUGCGAUUAAAUAACAAACAUCGAAGCUAUAAUAAAACUGAGUACUUCAUGCUUUGAUGAGCUUUUACCUUUAUUUUUAUUACACUGUAGCUUUGCUAACAAUUUCUAUCUCCGUGCUUAUCGUCAAGCCACCAAACAAUCCAUAGACAUAUCUGGCAUAGAUCUGUUUUUUUUUUGCAUGCUAGGCAAACUUUGUCAAGAUCAUCAAGAAAAAUAUAUGUAUAUGUUUUUAUUUAUAUCAACAAUUUAAUUGAAAAUAGAUUUUAUGUCACUAAGCAAACUUUCAUGAAAUUGUUUCUGUUUUCGUUUUAAAAAUUUCGAUAGUCAAUAACUUUACUAACAUGGCAAUUGAAAAGUUCUGCAUUUGGUGUUUUCAUUUAUAAAAGAAAGACAUGACAACGAGAAACAAUUUUCUGUUAAGUUUGAUUUAGAACUGUGUUGACGAUAAGCCUCAUGAAUUAUGAAACUUAUAAGAAUAGAUCUUGCAUCAAAUAGUGCAUGCUCUGUUUUAUUAUUGUUUGUUUGCACGUGUCUUGUGAGGCCUGUUCGUGACAGGCUUCCUUUCAUUGAAUUUUUUAAAAUGUAAAUUUGCUCAAUUUAAUAAAAUCAUAUAAUUUA
Long non-coding RNA from Mytilus californianus (California mussel), 3768 nucleotides. RefSeq lists it as uncharacterized. The record is from RefSeq and is a predicted model, not a curated record. The transcript is spliced from 4 exons. NCBI's taxonomy places the organism in Eukaryota, Metazoa, Mollusca, Bivalvia, Mytilida, Mytilidae.